ACAGCCAUGUCACGUUGAAGCACCUGUUCCCGUACGAUCACUGAAAUUAAGCAACGUAGAGCUUGGUCAGUAACUAGAUGGCUGACCACUUGGGCAUACCAGGUACUGUAAG
Non-coding RNA from Acanthosepion pharaonis, 112 nucleotides. The record is from the annotation of a GenBank genome assembly. NCBI's taxonomy places the organism in Eukaryota, Metazoa, Mollusca, Cephalopoda, Sepiida, Sepiidae.